Non-coding RNA from Hydra vulgaris (swiftwater hydra), 1020 nucleotides. Lineage: Eukaryota; Metazoa; Cnidaria; Hydrozoa; Anthoathecata; Hydridae. The record is from RefSeq and is a predicted model, not a curated record.
ACAGCUAUUGGUCAAAAUUUAAGGAGAUGUUGCCGCAAUGCAGUUUUCAAGUGAAAGUAAAACUUAAAAACUUGAUACAUGUUUUAGUAUGUUUUGACAUUUCGCAUUUUGAAGUUUACGUAAGUUAGUUAUUAGCACACACUUUCGUUAAUGUUUUCUUAUAAAAAGGUGCUGCGACUCUUCCUCGCCAGUACCACGGUUGCAAUGGCUGCGUUGGGUAUUAUGUCAAACGUGCUCGAAAGGAAAAACCUUAUCUAAUUAAAAUGAUACAACAUUGAAAACUUACCUCAUAAAAAAAGCCAAGAAGUUAAAUUCUGAAUCAACAAGCUUGGAGAAAAAUUAAAAGAACAGCGUGAAUCACUAUAUUUUUAUGGUCAGAAAGAUUGUUCUAGAAAAGUCUGUUUUCUUAAAGCAUGUUAAUAGUAAGGAAUCAUCAUCAAGCAUUAAGAAAAAAUACGUUACCGCUCGCAAAAAAAAAACGUUCCAAAAUCAUUUUAAAAACACAUAAACAAGAAGCCCCAAUCGAAGUACCUACCUUAAACUGUCAAAUAUGAGUUAAAAACAUUAGUAUGUUAAACAAAGUUACUUUACGUACAAAUGCGCCUUUUGAGGCAAUAGGUAAAGUUUGCUUUUUCGAAACUGAAAGAAAUGUUUGUUGUUUACUGCGACAAAGUUUUUUUAAGAUUUUUUUUUGUUACGCAAAAUUACUUACUUUAAUUUGUAAACGAAAAUGUUUUACGUGGUUAUUACUAUUAUAAAAUUUAUUUAUGUGAAUAAGAAAUUUGCUUUUAUCAGGUAAAGCAUCGAGAAAAAAUAAAGUUUGUAAAGCAUAUUUUAUAAGUUUACUAGUUAAAACUGCUUACUAAGUCAUAUAUUUGGUUGUCUUAGUGAUAAGUAUAGUUUAUUUUCAACAAAGCAAUUAUGAAACAGUUUUGUAAUGCGCAUUUAAUUUCUUAUAUCUGCAGUUUAAUUGUUAAUUGUUGUACAAUUAUUGCAAAAUAGUUUUUUUAAUCUACUCAA